Long non-coding RNA from Neltuma alba, 91 nucleotides. RefSeq lists it as uncharacterized. The record is from RefSeq and is a predicted model, not a curated record. Lineage: Eukaryota; Viridiplantae; Streptophyta; Magnoliopsida; Fabales; Fabaceae. The transcript has 4 exons.
CAUGGAGACAUACAACUGGGAUGAUCCACUGAACCCUCAUGUGACAGUGAUAGUUUAGAGGCUUCUUCCUUGGUUUGCUGGUGUUACUUUU